Molecule: ribosomal RNA, 505 nt
Filed under: uncultured bacterium
Lineage: Bacteria
Description: partial 16S ribosomal RNA
Rfam family: Bacterial small subunit ribosomal RNA
Source: RNAcentral
GACGAACGCUGGCGGCGUGCCUAAUACAUGCAAGUAGAACGCACAGUUUAUACCGUAGCUUGCUACACCAUAGACUGUGAGUUGCGAACGGGUGAGUAACGCGUAGGUAACCUGCCUGGUAGCGGGGGAUAACUAUUGGAAACGAUAGCUAAUACCGCAUAAUAUUAAUUAUUGCAUGAUAAUUGAUUGAAAGAUGCAACUGCAUCACUACCAGAUGGACCUGCGUUGUAUUAGCUAGUAGGUGAGGUAACGGCUCACCUAGGCGACGAUACAUAGCCGACCUGAGAGGGUGAGCGGCCACACUGGGACUGAGACACGGCCCAGACUCCUACGGGAGGCAGCAGUAGGGAAUCUUCGGCAAUAGACGAAAGUCUGACCGAGCAACGCCGCGUGAGUGAAGAAGGGUUUCGGAUCGUAAAGCUCUGUUGUAAGAGAAGAACGGGUGUGAGAGUGGAAAGUUCACACUGUGACGGUAUCUUACCAGAAAGGGACGGCUAACUACGUG